Long non-coding RNA from Papaver somniferum (opium poppy), 306 nucleotides. RefSeq lists it as uncharacterized. The record is from RefSeq and is a predicted model, not a curated record. The transcript has 4 exons. NCBI's taxonomy places the organism in Eukaryota, Viridiplantae, Streptophyta, Magnoliopsida, Ranunculales, Papaveraceae.
AUGCGGUAAUCUGUAUAACCCGUAAAACGGUUCAUAGUCAAAUCAUUUACAAAUUACAAUUUUUCGAUCUAAUUAAGGAAAUUAGAGUUCAUCGGAUUGUAACUGCACAAAUCUAUUAAUCUGGCGUGAGUUUUUGUUCGUUUGAAGGAUUUGGACGUUUGGGUAUCCAUCAGCAACUGGAAGUCUGAAAUAAUCACCAGUUUGUGUAGUUAUCGUGGUGAAAAAGAUGGGGCUCUGGUUUGAACUAAGAAAUCUGCGUGUAAAAUAAUGGAGUACGAUGAACCAAUCAAGUUGAUGGAGAAGGAC